CCUACGGGAGGCAGCAGUGAGGAAUAUUGGACAAUGGACGCAAGUCUGAACCAGCCAUGCCGCGUGCAGGAAGACGGCUCUAUGAGUUGUAAACUGCUUUUGUACGAGGGUAAACGCAGAUACGCGUAUCUGUCUGAAAGUACCGUACGAAUAAGGAACGGCUAACUCCGUGCCAGCAGCCGCGGUAAUACGGAGGAUUCAAGCGUUAUCCGGAUUUAAUGGGUUUAAAGGGUGCGUAGGCGGUCGGAUAAGUUAGAGGUGAAAUCCAGAGGCUCAACUUCGGAAUUGCCUCUGAUACUGGUCGGCUAGAGAGUAGUUGCGGGAGGCGGAAUGUAUGGUGUAGCGGUGAAAUGCUUAGAGAUCAGACAGAACACCGAUUGCGAAGGCAGCUUACCAAGCUACUUCUGACGUUGAGGCACGAAAGCGUGGGGAGCAAACAGGAUUAGAUACCCCUGUAGUC
RNAcentral lists this ribosomal RNA (460 nucleotides) under uncultured bacterium. RNAcentral's name for it is "partial 16S ribosomal RNA". It matches the Rfam family "Bacterial small subunit ribosomal RNA", at positions 338 to 795 of the family's 1533-position model. The record is from RNAcentral.